AUUGAACGCUGGCGGCAGGCCUAACACAUGCAAGUCGAACGGACCCUUCGGGAUUAGUGGCGGACGGGGGAGUAACGCGUGGGAACAUACCCAAAGGUACGGAAUAGCCUCGGGAAACGGGGGGUAAUACCGAAGGUGCUCGAAAGAGGAAAGAUUUAUCGCCUUUGGAUUGGCCCGCGUUGGAUUAGGUAGUCGGGGGGGUAAUGGCCUACCAAGCCGACGAUCCAUAGCUGGUUUGAGAGGAUGAUCAGCCACACUGGGACUGAGAAACGGCCCAGACUCCUACGGGAGGCAGCAGUGGGGAAUCUUAGACAAUGGGGGAAACCCUGAUCUAGCCAUGCCGCGUGAUCGAUGAAGGCCUUAGGGUUGUAAAGAUCUUUCAGGUGGGAAGAUAAUGACUGUACCACCAGAAGAAGCCCCGGCUAACUCCGUGCCAGCCGCCGCAGUAA
RNAcentral lists this ribosomal RNA (449 nucleotides) under uncultured bacterium. Its description in RNAcentral is "partial 16S ribosomal RNA". It matches the Rfam family "Bacterial small subunit ribosomal RNA", at positions 30 to 523 of the family's 1533-position model. The record is from RNAcentral.